UUCCUCAUAGCUCAGUUGGUAAAGAAUCUGCCUAUAAUGCAGGAGACCCAGGUUCAAUUCCUGUGUGGGAA
This 71-nucleotide transfer RNA is filed under the name Bos taurus (domestic cattle). It matches the Rfam family "tRNA". From Rfam's summary of the family: Transfer RNA (tRNA) molecules are approximately 80 nucleotides in length. The record is from Rfam by way of RNAcentral. Lineage: Eukaryota; Metazoa; Chordata; Mammalia; Artiodactyla; Bovidae. RNAcentral also lists the same sequence under 3 other names.